Penaeus indicus is the source of this 401-nucleotide long non-coding RNA. RefSeq lists it as uncharacterized. NCBI's taxonomy places the organism in Eukaryota, Metazoa, Arthropoda, Malacostraca, Decapoda, Penaeidae. The record is from RefSeq and is a predicted model, not a curated record. The transcript is spliced from 3 exons.
CGCGAGUAAAAGCAGGGGCCGCAACAGUCGUAUAAUUCUUACUGUGGACGAAGCACGUGUUGCCUUUUAGCUGUGUAGGAAGGUGUACCGUAUGAAAGAUGCGCCUUUUUUUCAUGCUGUCUCUUAUCUGUCUAACGCUGAGGUUCCGGUCGACUCGUCUCAGCCAAGAUCUCCUUCACUUUCGGUGUCCUUCGAAAUUCCCAGAAUCCACAGGGCUUCUAAGGAGAAUAGCGCUCGACUGUGCAACGGAAAAGACCUUUCGUAUAUAGAUUAGAUCAACUACACUCACCUUAUGUGCCCAUACUCUUAUGUACAACAGAGUUUCAUUCAGUUCUCCCAUACUCAUUUGUCAUUAAGUUUAGAAUUGUUUAUAUUUUUCUAAUAAAAUGAUAGUACUUGUC